UGAUACCUCACCAGGAUUUCACAGAACGUUAGAAGAUGGACUCAGUUUUAUUUUUGUGAAAAUGAUGUGGCCCACAAAAUAUGGAAGACAAUCACAGACAAUGAGCAUUUUGAUUUCAUAUGGUCAUGGUCACCUGAAUUCUACAGAAUGUGGAUAAAAAUGCUUUCAGAAAUGAUCAGGAGGACAAGAUGCAUUGACCCUAUUAUGGAAAAAUAAAUAUCAGUAAAGCAGAAGGUUUCAAAUAAACAAAUACAUUUAAUGGAAUAAACUAUCUCU
This 276-nucleotide long non-coding RNA is filed under the name Anser brachyrhynchus (Pink-footed goose). RNAcentral describes it as "lncRNA (ENSABRG00000018409.1)". Lineage: Eukaryota; Metazoa; Chordata; Aves; Anseriformes; Anatidae. The record is from RNAcentral.